Molecule: RNA transcript, 765 nt
Organism: Lycium barbarum (goji berry)
Lineage: Eukaryota; Viridiplantae; Streptophyta; Magnoliopsida; Solanales; Solanaceae
Gene name: NADH dehydrogenase [ubiquinone] 1 beta subcomplex subunit 10-B-like
Exons: 5
Source: RefSeq, a predicted model, not a curated record
UCACUCAUCAUCUCCACUCAAAUCCCCAACACCCCAAAAAAUCAAUUCCAGAGAGAAGAACAAAAAAUGGGACGGAAAAAGGGAGUAGAGUUCGAUGAAGGAGCACCAGAUAACUUCGACCCAAACAAUCCAUACAAAGACCCAGUUGCAUUCUUCGAGAUGAGAGAACAUUUAGUAAGAGAGAAAUGGAUCGACAUUGAAAAAGCUAAGAUCCUUCGUGAUAAACUACGUUGGUGUUACCGUAUCGAAGGUGUUAAUCAUCUUCAAAAGUGCCGUCAUCUUGUUCAGCAGUAUCUUGAUGCUACACGUGGUAUUGGUUGGGGCAAGGAUCUUCGUCCUCCAUUUAUGCACGGGCCGAAGGAGGUUGAAGCUGUUGAGUCCGAAUGAUUCGUUUCAGGGAUUGUCUUGAAGACCGUAAACACCUCAAUUAUGGCAUGACAUAAAUAAGGGGUGAAAGAGGAUGAGCUUUAUCAAAUAAACAAAGUAGCAGGAUGAAAGAGGAUAGUUGCAGGAGAGGAAGUAACAAAGGAGAAGGUUCAUCCAGUUGAAAGUAUAAAAUUCAGAGGUUGUUGGGCUUACCAGCCGGUGAAUUUCAAUGUAUCGCUGCUUCUGUAAUUCACUGCUCUAAGACCUGAUUUUUUUAGUUUCCUGUUUAUGUGGAAGACGACAAUGGUUUGCAAUGGCUUUAACUUCAGCCUAGGUACUUUUUUAGUUGAGGGAACUAUAUUUUCAUAGUGGAAAUAAAGGAAAAAACUCAUUGUCUUC